RNAcentral lists this long non-coding RNA (234 nucleotides) under Elaeis guineensis (African oil palm). RNAcentral describes it as "long non-coding RNA (EGUI_LNC073960)". Lineage: Eukaryota; Viridiplantae; Streptophyta; Magnoliopsida; Arecales; Arecaceae. The record is from RNAcentral.
UAUAUAUACAUCUCUUAAAUUAUGAUCUUGUUUUGAAUGGCUGCCGUUCCCAUUAAAUUUUUAAUUGAUAAUGUUCAUAAAUUACUCUUUUAAUUAUUAAAUGAUUGUAUCACCUUUGGCAUUUAUAAUCUUGAUAAGUUAUAUAAAAAUAUAGCUCUUUUUGAUGCAAAUCAAAUGUUAACCCUAGAUGGGUAACUUCACAGUUUGUGGGUUGUCUCUGUCUACCAUCACCCC